GGAGGCUUUGAAGUGUGGACGCCAGUCUGCAUGGAGCCGACCUUGAAAUACCACCCUUUAAUGUUUGAUGUUCUAACGUUGACCCGUAAUCCGGGUUGCGGACAGUGUCUGGUGGGUAGUUUGACUGGGGCGGUCUCCUCCUAAAGAGUAACGGAGGAGCACGAAGGUUGGCUAAUCCUGGUCGGACAUCAGGAGGUUAGUGCAAUGGCAUAAGCCAGCUUGACUGCGAGCGUGACGGCGCGAGCAGGUGCGAAAGCAGGUCAUAGUGAUCCGGUGGUUCUGAAUGGAAGGGCCAUCGCUCAACGGAUAAAAGGUACUCCGGGGAUAACAGGCUGAUACCGCCCAAGAGUUCAUAUCGACGGCGGUGUUUGGCACCUCGAUGUCGGCUCAUCACAUCCUGGGGCUGAAGUAGGUCCCAAGGGUAUGGCUGUUCGCCAUUUAAAGUGGUACGCGAGCUGGGUUUAGAACGUCGUGAGACAGUUCGGUCCCUAUCUGCCGUGGGCGCUGGAGAACUGAGGGGGGCUGCUCCUAGUACGAGAGGACCGGAGUGGACGCAUCACUGGUGUUCGGGUUGUCAUGCCAAUGGCACUGCCCGGUAGCUAAAUGCGGAAGAGAUAAGUGCUGAAAGCAUCUAAGCACGAAACUUGCCCCGAGAUGAGUUCUCCCUGACUCCUUGAGAGUCCUGAAGGAACGUUGAAGACGACGACGUUGAUAGGCCGGGUGUGUAAGCGCAGCGAUGCGUUGAGCUAACCGGUACUAAUGAACCGUGAGG
This 772-nucleotide ribosomal RNA is filed under the name Escherichia coli. Its description in RNAcentral is "partial 23S ribosomal RNA". It matches the Rfam family "Bacterial large subunit ribosomal RNA", at positions 2150 to 2916 of the family's 2925-position model. The record is from RNAcentral. Lineage: Bacteria; Pseudomonadati; Pseudomonadota; Gammaproteobacteria; Enterobacterales; Enterobacteriaceae.